This 965-nucleotide ribosomal RNA is filed under the name Thermomucor indicae-seudaticae. Its description in RNAcentral is "LSU rRNA". It matches the Rfam family "Eukaryotic large subunit ribosomal RNA", at positions 74 to 966 of the family's 3401-position model. The record is from RNAcentral. Lineage: Eukaryota; Fungi; Mucoromycota; Mucoromycetes; Mucorales; Lichtheimiaceae.
AUUCCCCAGUAACGGCGAGUGAAGAGGGAAGAGCUCACAGUUUGAACCUGUUUGACCUAGUCAAACCGGAUUGUAAACUGUAAAGACAUUGUCCAGGCAAGCCGGGUAAAUAAGUCCUUUGGAAUAAGGCAUCAUGGAGGGUGAAAAUCCCGUUUUUGGCCUGAGCAUUUGCCUUUUGUGACAAGUCUUUCAAGAGUCAGGUUGUUUGGGAAUGCAGCCUAAAUUGGGUGGUAAAUCCCAUCUAAAGCUAAAUAUUGGCGAGAGACCGAUAGCGAACAAGUACCGUGAGGGAAAGAUGAAAAGCACUUUGAAAAGAGAGUUAAAAAGUAUGUGAAAUUGCUGAAAGGGAAGCGUUUGGGAUCAGAACGGCUGUACCAGUCAUCAGUCUCGGUUUCGACUGGGAUGCACUGUCUGGGACAUUUGCCAGCCAACAACAGUUGGUCUGGGUGGAGAAAACUGUGGGGAAGGUAGCCCCUUCGGGGUGAUUAUAGACCUGCGGAAAAUACACUCGGAUCGACUGAGGAGCGCAGUGGAUGCCUUUAGGCAAGAUCUUUCAAAGGGCAUAGCCUCUAUUUGACUGCAUCUUUAUCCACUUGGGUUGUUGGCCUAAUGGUUUCAAACGACCCGUCUUGAAACACGGACCAAGGAGUCCACCACAGAUGCGAGUAUUUGGGUGGCAAACCCAUAUGCGCAAUGAAAGUGAGACAUGAAAAGCUGUGAAAUCUCUCUUUUGUUGGGGGGGGGAUAGCAACAGCGUCCGGUACGGAGGUUUUAUACUGAAGUAACUGAGACAAAGCAUCUGUGAUGGGACCCGAAAGAUGGUGAACUAUGCUUGGAUAGAGCGAAGCCAGAGGAUACUUCUGGUGGGAAGCUCGAAGCGGUUCUGACGUGCAAAUCGAUCGUCUGAUCUGAGCAUAGGGGCGAAAGAACUAGUCGUAGCAUCUAGUAGCUAGCUACUGCCGAGU